AACGAACGCUGGCGGCAUGCCUAACACAUGCGAGUCGAACGAACCCUUCGGGGUUAGUGGCGCACGGGUGCGUAACGCGUGGGAAUCUGCCCUUUGCUUCGGAAUAACUCAGGGAAACUUGUGCUAAUACCGGAUGAUGUCUUCGGACCAAAGAUUUAUCGGCAAGGGAUGAGCCCGCGUAGGAUUAGGUAGUUGGUGGGGUAAAGGCCUACCAAGCCGACGAUCCUUAGCUGGUCUGAGAGGAUGAUCAGCCACACUGGGACUGAGACACGGCCCAGACUCCUACGGGAGGCGGCAGUGGGGAAUAUUGGACAAUGGGCGCAAGCCUGAUCCAGCAAUGCCGCGUGAGUGAUGAAGGCCCUCGGGUCGUAAAGCUCUUUUACCAGGGAUGAUAAUGACAGUACCUGGAGAAUAAGCUCCGGCUAACUCCGUG
RNAcentral lists this ribosomal RNA (433 nucleotides) under uncultured bacterium. Its description in RNAcentral is "partial 16S ribosomal RNA". It matches the Rfam family "Bacterial small subunit ribosomal RNA", at positions 29 to 507 of the family's 1533-position model. The record is from RNAcentral.